CAGCAGGCCUGUGCAUAAAAUGCAGCGAGUUGAUCCGUCCGCAAGAACCAGCUUGAGCCCAACCGACACAAGUUGGGUUAUUCGGAUCCACUCCACUAGCGGGUUGAACCAAGUUAAUAUCGGUUGAAACCGAUACCGUCUACGCGUUUUGGAGUCCCUCUUCGCUUCAUUUCACAAACCCUAGCCACCAGUGCACCUCUCCAUUGGGCAUCGCCGUUCAUCGUCACUGUAGGGAAUCUCCGUUCAUCGUCACCAUCAUCUUCACUGUUCGUCUUCACCGUUCAAGCUAGAGUAAAGCCAUUGCCUACAUAGUUGAAAAAAAAAAUUUAUGAAGAUAUAAGAUGGAGGCAAGCAUCCUUAGUAGAUCUAAGCAUUUUCAAACAACUGAAGUCCAUGUUCAACCUGGGAAUGAUUUAAUUCAAAAAGCAAGUGAAAGAAAUAAAUGAAGGGAACACAAGGGGCACUCGGACAGCACACACUCGGACAGUAGAGGAUUAUUCGGUUUCAACUUUUGGCAUGUGAAUUGCGUUACAGACCUAGCACUAGGCACGUUGCAGGAGAUCACAUGGAAGCACUCGGACGUGCAGCAGGUCAGCAGAAGAAUAAAACUGCUGGCCCUCAACUUUGACAGAGCUGGACUUCACUCAAAGAAGAACAUGCUGGAGUGCUUUUUGGUUCUACACCUGGGGACCACUCGGACGUGCAGCAGUAGCAGAGUUUUAUCUUAUUUCUUUCUUUUUCGGGUAGCUGGACGUGCAGGAGAUCAGUGAUGUGUUGCUGGAAGGCAAGCUGUUCAUUUCAGCUUUCUUGCUUCUGCACAUGGAAGGUCACCACGGCAUCACAUGGACAGCUCACAAGACACACGGCUAUAAAAAGAAAGAGGGCUGAAAUGCUAUGGGAGUUCAGUAGCUUAGCUUGGAGUUGUUAUUUUCUUUCUUUUGUUUCAGAUGCUAGGCUUCAGUUUAUCUUUCAGGCUAUUUUUUUUUUGUUCGGCUACAGUUUUUAUUUUCUCUUCUUUUUCAUUUAGUUGCAAGGCGGCAGUUUUUGUUCUCAA
Molecule: long non-coding RNA, 1054 nt
Organism: Carya illinoinensis
Lineage: Eukaryota; Viridiplantae; Streptophyta; Magnoliopsida; Fagales; Juglandaceae
Exons: 2
Source: RefSeq, a predicted model, not a curated record